This 336-nucleotide unclassified non-coding RNA is filed under the name soil metagenome. RNAcentral's name for it is "partial contains 5.8S ribosomal RNA, internal transcribed spacer 2, and large subunit ribosomal RNA". The stretch from base 1 to 120 matches the Rfam family "5.8S ribosomal RNA", at positions 35 to 154 of the family's 154-position model. The record is from RNAcentral.
GAUGAAGAACGUAGCGAAAUGCGAUAAGUAGUGUGAAUUGCAGAAUUCAGUGAAUCAUCGAAUCUUUGAACGCACAUUGCGCCCCUUGGUAUUCCAUGGGGCAUGUCUGUUCGAGCGUCAUUUGUACCUUCAAGCUUUGCUUGGUGUUGGGUGUUUGUCUCGCCUUUGCGUGUAGACUCGCCUUAAAAUAAUUGGCAGCCGGCGUAUUGAUUUCGGAGCGCAGUACAUCUCGCGCUUUGCACUCAUAACGACAGCGUCCAAAAGUACAUUUUACACUCUUGACCUCGGAUCAGGUAGGGAUACCCGCUGAACUUAAGCAUAUCAAUAAGCGGAGGA